CUAAGCCGGGGCAUUCGGGAGCAGAACGGGCUGCCAGGAGGCGCCCAGCACGUGGUCCAGGUGUCCCAGAAGGAGCGUUCGCAGCUCCCUGGAGGCGGGAACGGAGUCCCCCGGGGAGAGAGUGGUCCAGGGUUUGCCCUCAGGCGUCCACACUGUCCGCCGGCGAGGCUGGUCCUGUUCCCAGCACCCACGCUGCUAGAGCCACCGGAUCUCCCAGGAGGAGACCCAGCUGCACUCAGAAGAAUCACGCUGGCCUAGGAGAUGGACGGCGGCGUGCGGGGUGAGGAAUAAAAGUCCUGCUGGUGCUGCCCGAGGCCCGGGUUGUGUGGACGGCGGGGGGCGGCACCGGUCUCUCAGUGCCCGGGUUCUGUCUACGUUCUGCCGCCUCCCUGGCCGUACCCGUACCGCUAUUAAGAGGGAUAUGUUCACCGCUGCCCCACCCAUAGAAAACAGACUCUGUGGUGCCCGUGAAAACACACGUUGGUGAGACUGGCACGCCCAUGUCACGUGGCCUCAUGAUCACUCCGGGCUAGGCCCAAUUUCCAAAUAAGGGUGUGCCCACGGGUGCUGGGUCAGGACCCCUCGAUUGUCACCCAAGAAGCCGUGCCGGGCUCUGGCCUAUGCGACCUGUGGUCGUCUGUUACAGUAGCGGGAAGCAGCCUGGGGCCGUGGAGCUGUGCGGGGGCAGAGCUGGCUCCUGGGGUUUGAGGGAACGAGGGCCUCAGAGGGGGUCUGUGGAAGACGGGAUCUGGGCAGCCCCUUGCUGGACGCUGAGCAACGUCGGACUGCAGCUUCCUGCCGGGACCUGACAUGCAAACAGCAGAAACCAUGGGGGCGCGACGCACUUGCUGGGGCAGGCGGGGUGGGCAGCCUGGCGCCAAUCACCUCGGCUCUGCAGCCUGGAGCGGACGGGGCAGGGGGCUUCUGCUGCAUCCGAGGGCCGAGCGUGGCUUUCCAUUCCCAGCCAACGGGUCUGGAAAGCAGACCGCACGGGUCCAAUAAUCAAUCAUCCACUUAAUCAAUUAGGAGUAUGCUAAUGCAGGAGGAUGGCGGGCGGCACUGCACAGGGCCCGGGCUGGAUGCUGGUCCCCUAAUCAGUGGCAGGUGAAGGGGCUGGGGCGGGCCGGGGGCGUCUCCGUGCUUAGAGGGAGAGGAUGCCCGGACGUGGGCCUGGGGGCUCAGCCAGCCGCCUGCCCGCGAGAGGAGGCGCCGCUUUGUCCCGCAGUUACCCUGUAGGGAGGGCUUUCCUGGGUUGUCUGUCACUCAGCGCCAAGCGAGGCAGUUUCAGGGAACAUUUUCAUCACUUCUAAGACCUGGAGAGUGCACUGAGUCCAGCCUCGAAACGAUCCCUGCUUUUCAUCACAGAGGGUGAGUCUGCUGACUUUUGCCUGCAAACCCUGAGAUGCGGUGACAUAAAAAGUGAGAAAAUCGCCAUUCCCUCUCAGCAGCGCAGGCUAUGCUUGGCAUUUGGGAACCACGUGGCACCGUUGGCUCCUCCCUCCUGCUGCGGUCAUGCCAGGAUGCUGCUGCCUGGCCCUCAUCUGUCCGGAUCGGUGCCGCCUCCUUUUCUUCCCCGGGAGAGAAACUGGAGUCCCAGUUCUGAGGCCUUGCUCCGAGCUCGGUACCCUCCUGUGCCGACACCUGCCCCUGUUGUCCUGUUGGGACCUUAACAUUCUGCAGCCAACCUUUGGACUAAGUGUGUGCAGAGUCUCCAUGCCGCGUCUUGCCCCCGAAGACUGGCCCUGCCUCCGCAGGCCUGGCUGCCGUCUGGGUUGGUGUCCAGGGAGUGGGUGUCGAGCUCUCCCUCAGCUGCCACAGCCCAGACCUUCCUGACAUUGCUGCUUGGAGCAGAGGCCUGGGCGCGACCCCUCUGUCUUGGCAGAGGGGGUGACUCUCACUUCGUGUUUGUCAGGGAAGAGGUGAAGUGUUGAGAAUCUGGUCCUUGGAGUGGGCACAUCUUUGGGGAGCAGCAGGGCCUGCUUCAGAGUUUGUUUCCUAAAUAAAACAAUGGCUCUCCAGUGACUUCUCCUGUGCCCUCGAUUGUUUUUGAGGCUGUUGCACUUUUAAAGAGCAGUGUGUCCACACCACCGUUCCUGUGGGCCCACUGUGGGGACAGCUGCUGAACCUUCCAGGACACACCUACAUACCUCAUCCCACCUACACCUCUCACCCUCCUACACACCUCACCCUCCUACACACCUCACCCUCCUACACACCUCACCCUCCUACACACCUCACCCUCCUACACACCUCACCCUCCUACACACCAAACCCUCCUACACACCUCACCCUCCUACACACCUCACCCUCCUACACACCUCACCCACCUACACACCUCACCCUCCUACACACCUCACCCUCCUACACACCUCACCCUCCUACACACCUCACCCUCCUACACACCAAACCCUCCUACACACCUCACCCUCCUACACACCUCACCCUCCUACACACCUCACCCUCCUACACACCUCACCCUCCUACACACCUCACCCUCCUACACACCUCACCCUCCUACACACCUCACCCUCCUACACACCUCACCCUCCUACACACCUCACCCUCCUACACACCUCACCCUCCUACACACCUCACCCUCCUACACACCUCACCCUCCUACACACCUCACCCUCCUACACACCUCACCCUCCGCAGUGUGCUUAUCACCACUGCACCCACGCUUGUGGCUGCAAGGAAGUCCCUGGCUGAUGUGAGUCCUCCUCCCACACACUGGGGCCCAUGGCUUUGGUGUCUAGAAAAGAAUGACAAUAAGGUCAGUACAGGGCAGGCUGGUCAGACCACCUU
Molecule: long non-coding RNA, 2805 nt
Filed under: Homo sapiens (human)
Lineage: Eukaryota; Metazoa; Chordata; Mammalia; Primates; Hominidae
Description: HSALNT0117292
Source: RNAcentral